Molecule: long non-coding RNA, 1472 nt
Organism: Brachypodium distachyon (stiff brome)
Lineage: Eukaryota; Viridiplantae; Streptophyta; Magnoliopsida; Poales; Poaceae
Exons: 2
Source: RefSeq, a predicted model, not a curated record
GGUACCUACCGCAGUAGCCCAGCAUUUCCCCCGCCACCGCAGUACUCUCCCGACCAGCCUCAUACCUCACCGCCUCCCAGCCGGGAUUGAAGCCUGUGAGGGCGCGCGCCCUGCUGCCGGCAGCCCCAUGGGGGACCACGCCAUCACCAGUCGCCGAGUUCGCCCCCCGUCACCUACGUCCUCAAGAUUGAACACGCUUACACGCGGCGCCGCAGCGGCACCAUUCGGCAUCUGCAAGGUCAUGCAACCCUGCCUGCUGCGCCCAACUCCAAGAGGACUACCCCCUCCGCUCCUUCGCCGUGCUACGCCUGGAAGACCCGGCCUCGGCCUUCCCCGAGCAACUCGGCCUCUGCCCGCGCCGCCCACGGCCCGUGCUCACGCUGGCGCUGGCAGACUUGAGCUGCUCCGCGAUGAGUCAAGCGGCCAGGCGAGGGGGCGCACGGUGUAGAGGCAGCCAGCUUCACGGCGACCUUCAGGGUGAGUAUCACCUCGCUGCCCGGCAGGAGCAGCAGCGCCUUUGGGCCGGCGUGCUGGUGCUCCUGCUCGGCUUUACAAUCGGCCUGCUUUUCCAGAGAUUAAACUGCUGCGGGGAUGGACCGGUUCAGACCCAGGUCAAACCAAGUCAAGGCGGUGGGGUUUGGAGCAGGAGCCUGACAAGUGGGGUCUAUUAUCAGUUUCUCCAUCAAAACGCGCUUAACCGAACAAUUAGUGCAUGAGGUGACCAAUAUACCGAAAGCAGUGGCAAUUUGUAAUUUUUUUUAAAAUUUGUGGUUUUCCUAGAAGAUCGUCUCAAAUGUGAUUGUUCUAUGUAAUUUUCUCCUCCCGUUCCCCUCUUAGCUCUAAAUAAAUCAGCCCCUUCCUCAGAUCUGAGUAUCUUGCUGCUGUCCUUAGUUGAUUCGUGUGGAUCUUCUCAGUGUGAUUCAUAUGCGCCGGCGACGAUCUGAUUUCGGCUUCAGUGGUUAACUUGAAGCACUUGAAUCCUCCUUCAACCUCCAUUCCAGAGGUCCGCUAUGCGGUUUCGGGGAACAAUGGCUGAAAGUUGACUGCCAAAGCUUGGCCCGGAUCUCGUACUGGGAGCAUCUGCCCAAUUUAGGGGCUUUUGGUAUGAUUCGGCGUCGUGAAGAUUCCCUCCAUCACAGGCGGCGUCGACCACAUCUUCCUCCAAGCAACUUGCACUGGAGGCAGGAAGCUAGUCAGUUGGAUUCCUUGCAUCGACGGAGUUGGGCAGUGCUGAUGCUCGCCGGAGUCAUUCCCUGCUGCGUUCGGUGGCGAGGUUUCUCCAAGGACGCGUGUAAGUUUACUCAAGUUGAGGUGGCAGCUGGAGGGAAAGCACAAGACACGUGGUGGUUAGUCAUGUUGGCCAAGCGCCACGUACUCUACAAGGAUCUUGUUGUAAUUUAGUUAGCUUUUAAGAUCCUACAUGUAAAUCGAGCUGUACUGUUCUGUGGGGCUUGUUCCCCACCUUAAUAAUA